UACAGAGGUCUCAAGCGUUGUUCGGAUUCAUUGGGCGUAAAGGGUGCGUAGGUGGCGCGCUAAGUCGGGUGUGAAAUUUCGGAGCUUAACUCCGAAACUGCAUUCGAUACUGGCGUGCUUGAGGACUGGAGAGGAGACUGGAAUUCAUGGUGUAGCAGUGAAAUGCGUAGAGAUCAGGAGGAAGACCAGUGGCGAAGGCGGGUCUCUGGACAGUUCCUGACACUGAGGCACGAAGGCCAGGGGAGCAAACGGG
This 253-nucleotide ribosomal RNA is filed under the name uncultured bacterium. RNAcentral's name for it is "partial 16S ribosomal RNA". It matches the Rfam family "Bacterial small subunit ribosomal RNA", at positions 524 to 776 of the family's 1533-position model. The record is from RNAcentral.